CCUCCUACGGGGGGCAGCAGUGAGGAAUAUUGGUCAAUGGACGAGAGUCUGAACCAGCCAAGUAGCGUGAAGGAUGACUGCCCUAUGGGUUGUAAACCUCUUUUGUCGGGGAGCAAAAGCCGGACGUGUCCGGCUGUGAGAGUACCCGAAGAAAAAGCAUCGGCUAACUCCGUGCCAGCAGCCGCGGUAAUACGGAGGAUGCGAGCGUUAUCCGGAUUUAUUGGGUUUAAAGGGUGCGCAGGCGGAUUUUUAAGUCAGCGGUCAAAUCGUGGGGCUCACCCCCAUCCAGCCGUUGAACCUGGGGG
This 305-nucleotide ribosomal RNA is filed under the name uncultured bacterium. Its description in RNAcentral is "bacterial SSU rRNA". It matches the Rfam family "Bacterial small subunit ribosomal RNA", at positions 335 to 639 of the family's 1533-position model. The record is from RNAcentral.